RNAcentral lists this ribosomal RNA (398 nucleotides) under uncultured bacterium. RNAcentral's name for it is "bacterial SSU rRNA". It matches the Rfam family "Bacterial small subunit ribosomal RNA", at positions 364 to 776 of the family's 1533-position model. The record is from RNAcentral.
UUCCGCAAUGGGCGAAAGCCUGACGGAGCGACGCCGCGUGGAGGAUGAAGGAUUUCGGUCUGUAAACUCCUGUCAGUGGGGACGAAACAAAUGACGGUACCCACAAAGGAAGCAUCGGCUAACUACGUGCCAGCAGCCGCGGUAAGACGUAGGAUGCGAGCGUUGUUCGGAUUUAUUGGGCGUAAAGCGUACGUAGGCGGCUGCCUAAGUCUGGUGUUAAAGCUAGGGGCUCAACCCCUGUGAUGCACUGGAAACUGGGCGGCUUGAGAGCGGUAGGGGAAGGUGGAAUUCCGAGUGUAGCGGUGAAAUGCGUAGAUAUUCGGAAGAACACCGGUGGCGAAGGCGACCUUCUGGGCCGUUUCUGACGCUGAGGUACGAAAGCGUGGGGAGCAAACAGG